AGCUCCAAUAGCGUAUAUUAAAGUUGUUGCAGUUAAAAAUCUCGUGGUUGGAUUUGUUGUGAGAGUUGAAAUGGUUGACAAAGUUGAUCGUUUUCAUUCCACAUUCUUUGUGUUGGCUUUGGGAUGGCAUUCAGUUGCUGCCUCAAAUACACGCAUCUUUUACUGUGAAAAAAUUAGAGUGUUUAAAUCAGACGUUAUUGUCGUUGAAUACAUUAGCAUGGAAUAAUAAUAUAUGACUCGAUUGGUCUAUUUUGUUGGUUUGCACAUUUGAGUAAUGAUUAAUAGGGACAGUUGGGGAUAUUCAUAUUUGAGCGUCAGAGGUGAAAUUCUUGGAUCGCUGAAAGAUGUUUUCAUUA
RNAcentral lists this ribosomal RNA (356 nucleotides) under Halophytophthora sp. RNAcentral describes it as "partial small subunit ribosomal RNA". It matches the Rfam family "Eukaryotic small subunit ribosomal RNA", at positions 587 to 946 of the family's 1831-position model. Lineage: Eukaryota; Oomycota; Peronosporomycetes; Peronosporales; Peronosporaceae. The record is from RNAcentral.